AACGUAGGGGGCGAGCGUUGUCCGGAGUUACUGGGCGUAAAGCGCGCGUAGGCGGUGCGGUAAGUCAGGGGUUAAAGGCUGCAGCUCAACUGCAGUAAGGCCUUUGAUACUAUCGUGCUAGAGUGUCAGAGAGGAUGGCGGAAUUCCCGGUGUAGCGGUGAAAUGCGUAGAUAUCGGGAGGAAUACCAGUGGCGAAGGCGGCUAUCUGGCUGGUAACUGACGCUGAGGUGCGAGAGCGUGGGGAGCAAACAGG
RNAcentral lists this ribosomal RNA (253 nucleotides) under uncultured microorganism. Its description in RNAcentral is "partial 16S ribosomal RNA". It matches the Rfam family "Bacterial small subunit ribosomal RNA", at positions 524 to 776 of the family's 1533-position model. The record is from RNAcentral.